GACGAACGCUGGCGGCGUGCUUAACACAUGCAAGUCGAACGGCAGCGCGGGCUUCGGCCUGGCGGCGAGUGGCGAACGGGUGAGUAAUGCAUCGGAACGUGCCCAGUAGUGGGGGAUAGCCCGGCGAAAGCCGGAUUAAUACCGCAUACGACCUGAGGGUGAAAGCGGGGGACCGAAAGGCCUCGCGCUAUUGGAGCGGCCGAUGUCGGAUUAGCUAGUUGGUGGGGUAAAGGCUUACCAAGGCGACGAUCCGUAGCUGGUCUGAGAGGACGACCAGCCACACUGGGACUGAGACACGGCCCAGACUCCUACGGGAGGCAGCAGUGGGGAAUUUUGGACAAUGGGGGCAACCCUGAUCCAGCCAUGCCGCGUGCGGGAAGAAGGCCUUCGGGUUGUAAACCGCUUUUGUUCGGGAAGAAAUCCUCUGGGCUAAUACCCCGGGGGGAUGACGGUACCGGAAGAAUAAGCACCGGCUAACUACGUG
This 484-nucleotide ribosomal RNA is filed under the name uncultured bacterium. Its description in RNAcentral is "partial 16S ribosomal RNA". It matches the Rfam family "Bacterial small subunit ribosomal RNA", at positions 28 to 507 of the family's 1533-position model. The record is from RNAcentral.